RNAcentral lists this unclassified non-coding RNA (462 nucleotides) under plant metagenome. Its description in RNAcentral is "partial contains internal transcribed spacer 2 and large subunit ribosomal RNA". The stretch from base 1 to 105 matches the Rfam family "5.8S ribosomal RNA", at positions 50 to 154 of the family's 154-position model. The record is from RNAcentral.
AAACUGCGAUAAUUAAUGUGAAUUGCAGAAUUCUGUGAAUCAUCAAGACCUUGAACGCAAACUGCGCCUACGGGUCCACCUGUAGGCACGCUUGUUUGAGUGUCGAUUCAUUCACUAUCCCUUUAUUAUUCCUAUUUUUUUUUUAAGUGGGUAAUAAUAAAGGGGAAUUGGAGGUGUGGUUUUUCCUCUUUUUUUUUUAAAAAAAAGAGGGGGGGACCACUCCUUUUAAGUUCAUCUUCGGACUUUGCUUUUCAAAAAAACGAAUCAGUUUCAGCAAAGAGGUCCAGCCAGUAGGUACCAAUACGUUGGUUUAUCGAAAACUCACAUCUCUCUUGUCUAAAUUUGACAUUCGUUUUUGAAGCAAUAUAAAUCAAGUUCGAAUAAAAGGAAAGAAUCAAAACAACCGAUCAUUUCUCAACAAUUCGACCUCAAAUCAAGUGGGAUUACCCGCUGAAGUUAAGC